Molecule: ribosomal RNA, 604 nt
Filed under: uncultured bacterium
Lineage: Bacteria
Description: bacterial SSU rRNA
Rfam family: Bacterial small subunit ribosomal RNA
Source: RNAcentral
AACGCGUAUGCAACCUACCUUUUACAGAGGGAUACCCAAAAGAAAUUUUGAAUAAUACCUCAUAAGCUCUAUUUAUAGCAUUUUAUAUAGAGGAAAACUCCGGUGGUAAAAGAUGGGCAUGCGUCCUAUUAGUUUGUUGGUAAGGUAACGGCUUACCAAGACUACGAUAGGUAGGGGUCCUGAGAGGGAGAUCCCCCACACUGGUACUGAGACACGGACCAGACUCCUACGGGAGGCAGCAGUAAGGAAUAUUGGACAAUGGAGGAAACUCUGAUCCAGCCAUGCAGCGUGCAGGAAGACGGCCCUAUGGGUUGUAAACUGCUUUUAUAUAGGAAGAAAUCUAUCUACGUGUAGAUAGUUGACGGUACUGUACGAAUAAGGAUCGGCUAACUCCGUGCCAGCAGCCGCGGUAAUACGGAGGAUCCAAGCGUUAUCCGGAAUCAUUGGGUUUAAAGGGUCCGCAGGCGGUCUAUUAAGUCAGAGGUGAAAUCCUGCCGCUCAACGGUAGAAUGGCCUUUGAUACUGAUAGACUUGAGUUAUUGUGAAGUAGUUAGAAUGUGUAGUGUAGCGGUGAAAUGCAUAGAUAUUACACAGAAUACCAAUU